RNAcentral lists this transfer RNA (68 nucleotides) under Iridoteuthis sp. GS-2021. RNAcentral's name for it is "tRNA-Pro". Lineage: Eukaryota; Metazoa; Mollusca; Cephalopoda; Sepiida; Sepiolidae. The record is from RNAcentral.
CGAAAGAUAAUUUAAUUAAAAUAUUAACAUUGGAAGUUAAAAAUUAGGUGUUUUAACCUAUCUUUUGA